This 200-nucleotide unclassified non-coding RNA is filed under the name Tolypocladium sp. RNAcentral's name for it is "partial internal transcribed spacer 2". Lineage: Eukaryota; Fungi; Ascomycota; Sordariomycetes; Hypocreales; Ophiocordycipitaceae. The record is from RNAcentral.
UUAAGUUCAGCGGGUAUUCCUACCUGAUCCGAGGUCAACUCUGAGAAGUUGGGCGUUUUACGGCGUGACCGUCUCCGCGCUCCGGUGCGAGGUUGUGCUACUACGCAGGGGAGGCUGCGGCGAGGUCGCCACUGCAUUUGGGGGGCGGCCGGGGCCGGUCCCCAACACCAAGCCGGCUGGGGCUUGAGGGUUGAAAUGAC